Anneissia japonica is the source of this 669-nucleotide long non-coding RNA. RefSeq lists it as uncharacterized. The transcript has 2 exons. Lineage: Eukaryota; Metazoa; Echinodermata; Crinoidea; Comatulida; Comatulidae. The record is from RefSeq and is a predicted model, not a curated record.
CCUUGGGUAGUCUGCUUAGCUGCUGAAUUGCAUAAACUAGUCAUUGUCAAGGCCAGUUGUAUCUUCCUUGAGUAGACUAGAAUCCUAGUUGAGGUUAAUGGAUGUAUGUUAUUUCAAGACACUACUUGAUAAGAAAUUGCUAUGGAAAAGCACUGGAACAUCUUAAGAAAUUGGGAGGCGCAAUCUCUGGUGAAGCAGAACAUAUUCGCAAGUUAGAUAUGGUGCAGAAGCCCUCAGCCUUACACAAGCUGUUAUUGGACAUUAUGAAUCUGAGUUUCUCACAAAACACUUAAUGAUCCAUGUGAAUGUACAAUAUUUUGCAUAUAUAUUUGUAAAAAUUGUACACAGGAAACUCUCUUCAGUACAAACAUUGAAUUAAAACAUUGAGUUGCUGAUUUAAAAGGAUUACAUAAGUCUGCCUCAUUAAUAAAUUAUUAAUGAGGCAGAUCAAAGCAAUGUAGUUUUCACUGAAUACACUUUGUACAAAUGACAUUCCUUAAAUUGAUUACUGUUAAUGUAGUUUAGCUAAACAUAGACAUUAUAUCCUGAAAAGGCAUGACCAUGGUUUAUAUAUACUUUAUCACUUCUACUUUCUCCCUAUAUUGGCAAAAAGACAAAUUGGUGUAUUGGCAACAGAUUGGCAUUUAACCAAUAAAGCGUUAGUCUGAA